Molecule: ribosomal RNA, 450 nt
Filed under: uncultured bacterium
Lineage: Bacteria
Description: partial 16S ribosomal RNA
Rfam family: Bacterial small subunit ribosomal RNA
Source: RNAcentral
GUGGGGAAUUUUGGACAAUGGGCGCAAGCCUGAUCCAGCAAUGCCGCGUGCAGGAAGAAGGCCUUCGGGUUGUAAACUGCUUUUGUACGGAACGAAACGGUCCUGGCUAAUACCUGGGGCUAAUGACGGUACCGUAAGAAUAAGCACCGGCUAACUACGUGCCAGCAGCCGCGGUAAUACGUAGGGUGCGAGCGUUAAUCGGAAUUACUGGGCGUAAAGCGUGCGCAGGCGGUUUUGUAAGACAGGCGUGAAAUCCCCGGGCUCAAACUGGGAAUUGCGGUUGUGACUUCAAGGCUGGAGUGCGGCAGAGGGGGAUGGAAUUCCGCGUGUAGCAGUGAAAUGCGUAGAUAUGCGGAGGAACACCGAUGGCGAAGGCAAUCCCCUGGGCCUGCACUGACGCUCAUGCACGAAAGCGUGGGGAGCAAACAGGAUUAGAUACCCUUGUAGUCC